This is a long non-coding RNA of Suricata suricatta (meerkat), 1018 nucleotides long. RefSeq lists it as uncharacterized. The transcript has 3 exons. Lineage: Eukaryota; Metazoa; Chordata; Mammalia; Carnivora; Herpestidae. The record is from RefSeq and is a predicted model, not a curated record.
CAUAUAGGGUUAUUUCAAAGUCCAUAUCACAAUCCUACAGUGAGCCUGUAACAGUACAUCGGCUGUCUUUCAGCUGGUUGCCAGCAUACUAUGAAGACCCACCUGCAAUCCAGGUUCACAAUGUUUCCAUCAGUCAACUGGAUGUAAUAAACUGCCCAUGAGGCCAUCUGUGUUUGGAGAUUGAAGUGGAAGUGGACAGGAGUACAGCUGCUGAGAAUAUAUGCUACUUAUUCAUGUAAUUCAUUUGUGUCUGCAAGACCUGCUUGGUUUGGGAACCUUCCUGUUCCCCUCGCCUCCUCAUUUAUGGAGACUGUUUUGACACCCACGGUGUCAUGCUUUCCAGGCAUGAUGUCAGGGACUGGCUACUCAAAUCUAAAAUACGAGUGCCUUUUACUGAACUCAUAUCAAAGAAAGAGUGACAGAAAGAGUGCGCGUACUGUUGGGCCUGAAGGGGUUAACCGGGAGUGAGUACGCUGACCGUGCCACCCAGGAGAUGCUGUGAAGCCGCGUUUCUGUCAAAGGAAACCGUGUUCAAAGCCGACUACAUACUUUGUGGGACCCAGUGCAAAAUAAAAAUAUGAUGGCCCUGGUGUAAGAAUGAUCGGGAUGUCCCAGGCGGUGACAGCAGAGCUUUAAACAUGCAGGAGGCUGGUCGGCGCAGGGGCCCCCGCGGGACGGCGCAGGUCAGCAAGCCCGAGAAGCAGAUCAUCACGCAGGUUAUGUUCCGACUUAACAGAUUCAGACUAAACACCGAUGUUCCCUUCCUUGGACAUAGUUCCUCCUCUGGUAUGUAUUAUAUUACAUUGUCUCCCUAGGCAAAAAGCUUGGGAUCUUCUCGGAUUCCUCUGUCCCUCACCCUACCCUCCAAUUCAGGACUAUUCCUAUUGCUUUUACCUGGAGGACUUUCUUUUCCAGUAAAUCUUCCCAUUCUAAUCACUAUCCUGGUUCAGACACUCAUGAUCUCUCACUCAUAUCUACCCACCUAAUCUAUUUUCCAGAAUGAUCUCUCUAAUGCUAA